Molecule: ribosomal RNA, 253 nt
Filed under: uncultured bacterium
Lineage: Bacteria
Description: partial 16S ribosomal RNA
Rfam family: Bacterial small subunit ribosomal RNA
Source: RNAcentral
UACGGGGGGGGCAAGCGUUGUUCGGAAUUACUGGGCGUAAAGGGCUCGUAGGCGGCCAACUAAGUCGGAUGUGAAAUCCCCAGGCUCAGCCUGGGAACUGCAUCCGAUACUGGAUGGCUUGAAUUCGGGAGAGGGAUGUGGAAUUCCAGGUGUAGCGGUGAAAUGCGUAGAUAUCUGGAGGAACACCGGUGGCGAAGGCGGCAUCCUGGACCGAGAUCGACGCUGAGGCGCGAAAGCUAGGGGAGCAAACGGG